GGGUUGUUCCCAGCGGAGAUCCUCCAGGAUGGCUUCUGGGAUACGCCACCGCAGAGCCAGGCCCUGGCGGGGCAUGUGAUGGUUUCUCUCCUGCUGCCGUGACGCCCUCACCAGCAGCUGAAGCAUCACAGGUUUACUGUCUUCCAGUUGUGGAGGCCAGAAACCCAUGUGCAACCUCAGCAGCUAAAACCCAGGCGUUGGCAGGAUGGCCUUCGUCCCGGAGCCUCCAGGGAGAGUCUGCUUCCCAUCCUUCUGCGUGGCUCUCUGGGGCUGUGGGACCCAGGACCCUGUUUUCCUGCUGGGUGCAGGCUGAGAGCUUCCGGAGGUGCAGGGGGCAUCUUCUGACCUAGCUUCCCAUCAUGGAAUGAGUGGAGGCUUCUUCAGGCCUCAACCUGUGCUGUUUACCUUCCGACAGCAGUGGCCUCCUCCUCCUCCGGCUGCUGCACUGUCCCUGCCCGCCCCUUUCCAGCGGCAGGUCCCAGAGCUUUCUCGGUUCUUGGCCACGACGUCUCCCACCUCCUCCACCCAGUGGGCUCUAGGCUCCGGUGGCUGCAGGGCUUCAGUCCAGCAGGUGUUUCCUUUUACUUGCUUCAUAGCAGCUUGCACCGUGGUUGAUCCCUCCCUCCUAGAAGCACUCUUCCUUCUGUUUCUGAGAAGGCGUAUUUUCUCUCGGGCCCCUGCGGCUGAUCUGUUUCCUGUGCAGACUCACCGUGGACGGUGCAUUUCCUCAGCGUCAGGCCCCUUCCUGCACACCUUGCCCAUGGCAUCUGCAGUUGACUUAGAGCACCUUGGCUACAGAUUGGUGUCCACCAUGGUCUUCCUAAGACAAAAAAACAUUCUGCUUAUGUCUGCAAAGGAAACAGAAGUUGCAGCCAACUAUAAAUGCAACGAGAAAAUACCUACAGGUUUGGAGAACAGAGACCUCCAAAGAACAGUGGACCAAGUGAUCGCCCUGGCUGACCCAGAGUGCUUGAUUCCAAGAAAAAGUUUGUUCCAAAUAAAGAAGCAAAGACUGGAGAGAAAGAUGACACCCCCAGUUUCCUCCUGAGACCAGUUUCCAGCCUCCUUGCUGCCCGGCCACAGCUGUCAUGAUUUCCGCUUGAAUGUCUUGCCGUCCUUGUUGGUACGAGUAUACAGUACUUGAUCAGUAUUGGUUCUGCGACAUUUGGUUUAUUUAUAAACACGCUGUUGUAUUGUAUAUAUAGUUCUGCACCUCGCUUUUCUCCCCUCUGCAAUGAUUUUUGAAGUCUAUCUACACUCACGUUUCACUGAGCUAUUUUACAUAUUUUAUUUCCCCACUGUUCCCCACGGCUGGACUUUUAGGUUCUUCCUGAUUUUUCACUAUUGCAAACAAUUCCAAAAUUUGAUUAGGU
RNAcentral lists this long non-coding RNA (1373 nucleotides) under Capra hircus (goat). Its description in RNAcentral is "lncRNA (ENSCHIG00010005374.1)". Lineage: Eukaryota; Metazoa; Chordata; Mammalia; Artiodactyla; Bovidae. The record is from RNAcentral.